AGCUGCGCAGUGGGCACAGAGCGAACUAUUCUUUCGCCUUUUACUAAAGAAUACCGUGUGCUCGCUGCAAAUAGCAGCAUACUACUCUAAUUUUUUGAGGGGAUUUUCUAUAUAAGGAGAAC
This 122-nucleotide small nuclear RNA is filed under the name Oryza sativa Indica Group (long-grained rice). RNAcentral's name for it is "snRNA U5". It matches the Rfam family "U5 spliceosomal RNA". Rfam says of the family: U5 RNA is a component of both types of known spliceosome. The precise function of this molecule is unknown, though it is known that the 5' loop is required for splice site selection and p220 binding, and that both the 3' stem-loop and the Sm site are important for Sm protein binding and cap methylation. Lineage: Eukaryota; Viridiplantae; Streptophyta; Magnoliopsida; Poales; Poaceae. The record is from Rfam by way of RNAcentral.